This 462-nucleotide ribosomal RNA is filed under the name uncultured soil bacterium. RNAcentral describes it as "bacterial SSU rRNA". It matches the Rfam family "Bacterial small subunit ribosomal RNA", at positions 26 to 451 of the family's 1533-position model. The record is from RNAcentral.
AGAACGAACGCUGGCGGCGUGGAUAAGACAUGCAAGUCGAACGGGAUUACUUUUGUAGCAAUACAGAAGUAAUUCAGUGGCGAACGGGUGCGUAACACGUGGGCAAUCUGCCGAAAAGUGGGGGAUAGCUCGCCGAAAGGCGAAUUAAUACCGCAUGUGGUGAGGGACGACAUCUUCCUGAAUCCAAAGCCGGGGCAACCUGGCGCUUUUUGAGGAGCCCGCGGCCUAUCAGCUAGUUGGUGAGGUAACGGCUCACCAAGGCUUUGACGGUAGCUGGUCUGAGAGGACGACCAGUCACACUGGAACUGAGACACGGUCCAGACACCUACGGGUGGCAGGCAGGUCGAAGUAACUUUUUUUCUACAAGUUGGGGGGAAAACCCCUGGAAGGACGCGACGCCGCGGUGGACGGAAUGGAAAGGCGUUUUCGGGUUAGUAAACCGUCCUUGGUACUAGUUUAGAA